UUUCUCGAGGUUCUUGACGUUUUUGGAGGAAAGAGUGAUGCGGAUCUUGUGAAUCGACUCCUGGGUUUCCUCCAACCCUGGUUUCGUAGCUGGCUUCAUCGCUGCGUAUGCCGCCAUGCUUGCUUCUUCUUCUUCUGCAUCACUUGAGAGAGGAGAGGGAAAACAAAACGAGCUGGAAACUGAGGGCCGCAGCUUCAACCUCUUCGGAAGCAGUGUGAUGUUAGGGCUAGGGUUUUGGUUGGUGUUGU
Long non-coding RNA from Rhododendron vialii, 248 nucleotides. RefSeq lists it as uncharacterized. The record is from RefSeq and is a predicted model, not a curated record. NCBI's taxonomy places the organism in Eukaryota, Viridiplantae, Streptophyta, Magnoliopsida, Ericales, Ericaceae. The transcript has 2 exons.